RNAcentral lists this ribosomal RNA (230 nucleotides) under uncultured Streptococcaceae bacterium. RNAcentral describes it as "partial 16S ribosomal RNA". It matches the Rfam family "Bacterial small subunit ribosomal RNA", at positions 109 to 334 of the family's 1533-position model. The record is from RNAcentral. Lineage: Bacteria; Bacillati; Bacillota; Bacilli; Lactobacillales; Streptococcaceae.
AGUAACGCGUAGGUAACCUACCUCAUAGCGGGGGAUAACUAUUGGAAACGAUAGCUAAUACCGCAUAAGAGAGACUAACGCAUGUUAGUAAUUUAAAAGGGGCAAUUGCUCCACUAUGAGAUGGACCUGCGUUGUAUUAGCUAGUUGGUGAGGUAAAGGCUCACCAAGGCGACGAUACAUAGCCGACCUGAGAGGGUGAUCGGCCACACUGGAACUGAUACACGGUCCAG